ACUGGAGGUGGUGACUAGCUGUAAUUAGUAUACAAAGUGAGAAUCGGAGUUGGGUGCAGCUUAUAAAUAGUGCGACUCAGAAGGGCUCUGUGUGCACCCACCACCAUCGCAGACAGAACAAGAACUGGACCAGAGACAUCGCUGGAACCCAGGGUGGCUGUCAUCUAACUUCUACAGCAACAAGUCCAAAUUACCGAAACACUGCUGAGAUGGGGAAAAUCAUCAUUUAUGAGCACAUCAACUUCCAGGGGUACUCCAAAGAACUCACCAGAGACGUUGCCAAUCUGAAAGAUAUAGAUUGGAAUGACUGUGUCUCCUCAGUGAAAGUAAUUGGACAGCCUUGGGUGGCUUAUGAGCACAUAAACUAUACAGGCCAGUUACUGGUAUUUGAGGAGGGAGAGCAUAGCUUUGUUGAUAAAGAGAUGAAUGACAAGAUCAGUUCUCUGAUGUUGAUUACUGAAAAUUUACACAAGCCACAGAUCACUCUCUAUGAACAUGACCAAUAUCAAGGGAAGAGCAGGGUGAUAACAGAAGCAACCAAUUUGGCUAGGGGUAAUGACAAUGACAUGGUGUCUUCUCAUAAAGUCCAGCAAGGUGUCUGGCUCUUGUGUGAACAUAGCGAUGGAAGUGGUUUCCGCUACAUUGCACGAGAGCAUGAACACCUUCCAACUUACAGAGCAAUCAAUUUCAAUGACAAGCUUUCAUUUCUGCGUCCCCUUCUCCCUGGAAGGUGUGGUUGCUGAUGGAAUGCAAAUUCUGAAGUGCUAAGGGUAGAUGUAGCCCUAGCAAGAACCUAGAUCUCUCUGCUUUUUUUUAUUUCCCCUUUUGCCAUAGAAAUACUGAAUGGGAGAGCUCUCUUUUAUGCUGUGCUGCAGAUGUGUAUUUCUCAGUCCCGUCUUGCACUGUUCUCCUUCCCCAUGAUGCCAAUGAAUGUUAGAACUACCAUAUUUAGUCAUAUGAAAAAAAAAAACCUCAAUGAUAAGAGAUGUGCCAGUGGUCUGUAACCUAUUAAACCUGCAACUAACAUUCCAAAGUACUAAACCAUGUAAUGUGAAAGUGUUGCAUGUUGCUUCUGUUGCUAUAUGCAU
Molecule: long non-coding RNA, 1088 nt
Organism: Oxyura jamaicensis (ruddy duck)
Lineage: Eukaryota; Metazoa; Chordata; Aves; Anseriformes; Anatidae
Exons: 2
Source: RefSeq, a predicted model, not a curated record